Molecule: unclassified non-coding RNA, 334 nt
Filed under: soil metagenome
Description: partial contains 5.8S ribosomal RNA, internal transcribed spacer 2, and large subunit ribosomal RNA
Rfam family: 5.8S ribosomal RNA (bases 1-120)
Source: RNAcentral
GAUGAAGAACGUAGUGAAAUGCGAUACGUAAUGUGAAUUGCAGAAUUCAGUGAAUCAUCGAAUCUUUGAACGCACAUUGCGCCUGCCAGCACUCUGGCAGGCAUGCCUGUUCGAGCGUCAUUUCAACCAUCAAGCCCUAGGCUUGCGUUGGAGCCCUGCGGCUGCCGCAGCCUCCCAAAACCAGUGGCGGGCUCGCUAUCACACCGAGUGCAGUAGUUUACUCUUCGCUCAGGGCGUGUGGCGGGUGCUAGCCGUGAAACCCCCAACUUCUCAAGGUUGACCUCGGAUCAGGUAGGAAUACCCGCUGAACUUAAGCAUAUCAAUAAGCGGAGGA